RNAcentral lists this transfer RNA (71 nucleotides) under Ictidomys tridecemlineatus (thirteen-lined ground squirrel). RNAcentral describes it as "Spermophilus tridecemlineatus (thirteen-lined ground squirrel) tRNA". It matches the Rfam family "tRNA". From Rfam's summary of the family: Transfer RNA (tRNA) molecules are approximately 80 nucleotides in length. Lineage: Eukaryota; Metazoa; Chordata; Mammalia; Rodentia; Sciuridae. The record is from Rfam by way of RNAcentral.
GCGGCUGUAGCUCAGUGGCAGAGCGCUCGCCUAGCAUGUGAGAGGCACUGGGUUCCAUCCUCAGCACCACA